UACAGAGGUCCCAAGCGUUGUUCGGAUUUACUGGGCGUAAAGGGUGCGUAGGUGGCGAGGUAAGUUUGAUGUGAAAUCUCCGAGCUCAACUCGGAAAUGGCAUUGAAUACUAUCCCGCUUGAGGGUCGGAGGGGAGACUGGAAUUCUCGGUGUAGCAGUGAAAUGCGUAGAUAUCGAGAGGAACACCAGUGGCGAAGGCGAGUCUCUGGACGACUCCUGACACUGAGACACGAAAGUGUGGGGAUCAAACAGG
RNAcentral lists this ribosomal RNA (253 nucleotides) under uncultured bacterium. RNAcentral's name for it is "partial 16S ribosomal RNA". It matches the Rfam family "Bacterial small subunit ribosomal RNA", at positions 524 to 776 of the family's 1533-position model. The record is from RNAcentral.